Molecule: transfer RNA, 86 nt
Filed under: Polyangiaceae bacterium LLY-WYZ-15_(1-7)
Lineage: Bacteria; Pseudomonadati; Myxococcota; Polyangiales; Polyangiaceae
Description: tRNA-Ser
Rfam family: tRNA
About the family: Transfer RNA (tRNA) molecules are approximately 80 nucleotides in length. Their secondary structure includes four short double-helical elements and three loops (D, anti-codon, and T loops). Further hydrogen bonds mediate the characteristic L-shaped molecular structure. tRNAs have two regions of fundamental functional importance: the anti-codon, which is responsible for specific mRNA codon recognition, and the 3' end, to which the tRNAs corresponding amino acid is attached (by aminoacyl-tRNA synthetases). tRNAs cope with the degeneracy of the genetic code in two manners: having more than one tRNA (with a specific anti-codon) for a particular amino acid; and 'wobble' base-pairing, i.e. permitting non-standard base-pairing at the 3rd anti-codon position.
Source: RNAcentral
GGAGGAGUGGCCGAGCGGUCGAAGGCGGCGGUCUUGAAAACCGUUGGGCCUCAUGGGUCCCAAGGGUUCGAAUCCCUUCUCCUCCG